Astrocystis sublimbata is the source of this 112-nucleotide non-coding RNA. NCBI's taxonomy places the organism in Eukaryota, Fungi, Ascomycota, Sordariomycetes, Xylariales, Xylariaceae. The record is from the annotation of a GenBank genome assembly.
GGGAGUUUGGCCGAGUGGUUAAGGCGUCGUGUUUAGGUAAAUCGGACUUCCGGUCUGAUUACUUCAAAUCCCGCGAUGGGAAACCGCGCAGGUUCGAAUCCUGCAGCUCUCA